UAAGGAAUAUUGCUCAAUAGGAGAAAUCCUGAAGCAGCAACGCCGCGUGGAGGAUGAAGGGUCUAUGACUUGUAAACUCCUGUAAAGAAGGAAAAAAUUCCCAUUAGAUGGGAGAUGAUGGUACUUCUGGAGUAAGCCCCGGCUAACUACGUGCCAGCAGCCGCGGUAAUACGUAGGGGGCAAGCGUUGUCCGGAUUUACUGGGUGUAACGGGUGCUCAGGCGGAUUUGUAAGUCAGAGGUGAAAUCUUACAGCUUAACUGUGAAACUGCCUUUGAUACUGCAAGCCUAGAGUAUGGAAGAGAGGGAUGGAAUAUCUGGUGUAGCAGUGAAAUGCGUAGAUAUCAGAUAGAACACCAAUGGCGAAGGCAGUCACUUGGUCCAUUACUGACGCUAAAGCACGAAAGCGUGGGUAGCAAACA
RNAcentral lists this ribosomal RNA (420 nucleotides) under uncultured bacterium. RNAcentral describes it as "bacterial SSU rRNA". It matches the Rfam family "Bacterial small subunit ribosomal RNA", at positions 355 to 774 of the family's 1533-position model. The record is from RNAcentral.